CGGGAAUUUCGGGCAAUGGGCGAAAGCCUGACCCAGCAACGCCGCGUGAGGGAUGAAGUAUUUCGGUAUGUAAACCUCGAAAGAAUGGGAAGAAUAAAUGACGGUACCAUUUAUAAGCUCCGGCUAACUACGUGCCAGCAGCCGCGGUAAUACGUAGGGAGCAAGCGUUGUUCGGAUUUACUGGGCGUAAAGGGCGCGUAGGCGGCGCGGUAAGUCACUUGUGAAAUCUCUGAGCUUAACUCAGAACGGCCAAGUGAUACUGCUGUGCUAGAGUGCGGAAGAGGCAACCGGAAUUCUUGGUGUAGCGGUGAAAUGCGUAGAUAUCAAGAGGAACACCUGAGGCGAAGGCGGGUUGCUGGGCCGACACUGACGCUGAUGCGCGAAAGCCAGGGGAGCAAACG
This 401-nucleotide ribosomal RNA is filed under the name uncultured bacterium. Its description in RNAcentral is "bacterial SSU rRNA". It matches the Rfam family "Bacterial small subunit ribosomal RNA", at positions 356 to 774 of the family's 1533-position model. The record is from RNAcentral.